AGUCAUCACUCUGGAGAGACCGGUUCGAUCCGGCGCCGAAGGUGCAAGAGGCUUUCCGCCUCCAAACUCUCAGGCAAAAGGACAGAGGGGCGCCC
Regulatory RNA element from Luteibacter sp., 95 nucleotides. It matches the Rfam family "Glycine riboswitch aptamer". From Rfam's summary of the family: This family represents the bacterial glycine riboswitch. The record is from Rfam. NCBI's taxonomy places the organism in Bacteria, Pseudomonadati, Pseudomonadota, Gammaproteobacteria, Lysobacterales, Rhodanobacteraceae.